This 1199-nucleotide long non-coding RNA is filed under the name Struthio camelus australis. RNAcentral describes it as "lncRNA (ENSSCUG00000017805.1)". Lineage: Eukaryota; Metazoa; Chordata; Aves; Struthioniformes; Struthionidae. The record is from RNAcentral.
CUGGCCAAAGUUUGUACUUUCAGUUAGUCUAAAAUAAAGGAAAGAGCAGGAAGUGCUCCAUUUUAUUGCAAGCACUGUUCCUGUUAAACAGAACCAAAAUACUUUCACAGUUUUCUAGUCAGCUCAGAAUUUUACACUUCUGGUUUCACACUAAGAAUUGGAUUGUGAAAUUGGAGGCAAACAUAUGCUGGAGGCUUAAGGCACAGCGACACGCAGACAGACCACGGUUCUCGGCCCGUUCCCUGAGACAGAUGGGUGUGAGGUAGCUCCAGUUUGGAGUCCAUCCAGUUGCAUUAGCUCAUGCUGUGAUAGAGCUAAUUAGUUCUACUAAAAGCUCGAAUCUGACAGUGUCCAGCUGGGGAGGCAUGACCUGAGAAAGGAGGAGGGAAUUGUGAAUUAUAUCUAUGACAGAGGCCAAUCUGACUGGACCAUCAAUGAGAAAAUUCUGGACUUCCUCUGAAAAAGUAGAAUAUCUUCUCAUUGGUUGGCACAGAGAGUUCCAGGAUCAGUCUGUCACAUCGCUUGCAUGAGAACAUAGAACAAUCAGAACAGCGUGUUUGGAAAAAUCUUCAUCUUCUACUUUUACUUUGCAGCCUUAUUCACAUAUGCCUGGAUAUGUUUAUGAAACAAUUCAGUCACUAGUCUUAUGCAGUAAUAUGUAUACUUUCCUGCAAUGACUACAAGAUUUACCAAAGAGUAAAAUUAUAGAGUUACAGUAACAAUAGAGUUAAUAUUAAGCAAUAAUGAGAUAGGUACAGUAAUAAAGACCUUAAAGCAAGAACGGAAAGAUUCCCAUUUUACUUCAUUACAAAAAUUCUCCAGCAGUUUUCUUAGUAAAGAAAGGAGUUGAAGUAAAAUAAGAAACCUACACGGAGGAUGCAGCUCAAAAUGACAGUCUUGAAAGUGUGGCAUGGAAAGGUGGCAGUUAGCUGUCAUCGGAAAGAGCACCAGUUGUUUUUACAGCAAAAGGAAACUGUGAAAGAAGUCUUUCUGCCUGUUGGAACUCUCAAGACAGCUGCAAUCCACAUCUUAAGGCAUUUUUGUUCCCAUCUGGUUGUAUCAUGUAGUUUUUGUGAUUACCUAAGAAAUUAAUUUCACACAGAUUCCAUAGACUGGUUUUGUAUACGUGGAGUAUCAUUUAAUGGGGAACGUUUUAUUAUUCAUAAAAUAUGUUGAAUAAAUGGACACAGAAAGUUACA